Octopus bimaculoides (California two-spot octopus) is the source of this 1533-nucleotide long non-coding RNA. The record is from RefSeq and is a predicted model, not a curated record. Lineage: Eukaryota; Metazoa; Mollusca; Cephalopoda; Octopoda; Octopodidae.
GUUAGGUCUUUCGCAACACAGGAGUCCAAAAGCCUUAAACAUUCUUUAUUUUAUUGUAUAAAUAGCAUCAACUUGCAUAUUCAUCAAAAUAGCCAUAAUGGAAUUUCCCAAUAUAUUCAGUAUUUCUAGUCAUAAUAAUGAGGUUGCUGUCAACCAUUACUGAGUUAGUCUGCAAGAAGGUCUCUAGAAACAGUUGUUUUGCUCAAUUGCCUGUCCUGGUUUAAGUGUACUAUUAUUGUCAUGUUACCCUUAAUAACCUAUGGUUAAUUAUUCUUUUCUACUCUAGGCACAAGGCCCAAAAUUUUUAGGGAGGGGGCCAGUUGAUUAGAUCAACCCCAGUAUGCAACUGGUACUUAAUUUAAUGACCUCCAAAAGGAUGAACGGCAAAGUUGACCUUGGCGGAAUUUGAACACAGAACAUAAAGACAGACGAAAUACCAUUAAGCAUUAUGCCUGGCGUGCUAACAUUUCUGCCAGUUCGCCACCUUCUAUGGUUAAUUAUUCCGUCACAUGGCCAGUAAACAAUAUAACAAUUCAGGAUGGUGGAUUGGCAGAACUACAAGAAAUAAGUACAAGCAUGGGUGUGGGUAAGAAGAUUGCUUCUCAACCACAUGGUUCUGCAUUCAGCUCUACAGCAUGAUACUUUUCCUAUAGCCCCAGGUUGAUCAAAGCCUUGUGAGCGGAUUUGAUAGAUGGAAACUGGAAGAAACCCAUCAUGUGUAUAUGUACAUGUGUGUGUGUGUGUGUGUGUGUGUGUGUGUGUGUUUUACUGCUUCCUUGCCUUGACAUCACAUGAUAGUUGUAAAAACAAAUGUUACCAUAAUGCAAGCAGUGUCCGUCAUUUCCAGCCUUCCAUGAAAACAUGUCUCAUCAUGGGAAAAUAGUACCUUAUUUGGAAACAAGUGAAGGUUGUUGACAGGAAAGGCAUCCAGCUGUAGAAAAGUGGAUGUUACAAUGAUGGUGAUAACAAAAUUGAACUGGAUAUUUUGUAGUAUUUGUUCUGGCUCUUUGUGUUUUAAGAUCGUCCCAGGACAGUGGCUUGAUAAGAUUGUCAGAGUGUCAUGUGGUAUCUGUACUAACCUUUUGUGUUCUGAUAGCAGUGACCAUGAUGAGACUGGUACCAAGCUGUAUUGGCCCUAAAGCAUAGAUCUUUCCAUUGGACAAUAUCAGUGACAUGAUGAGGAGAAAUUUGCAAAUAUGGACAACAGCUUGUCUUAAAAAAAAAAAACUCAAAAGAACCCCAAACAUUUCAGCAAAGACUUGCCCAAACUACUGCCUACAGUUUCUGUCUACCAAAUCCACUUAUAAGGUUUUUGAUCAGCUUGGGGUUAUAGUAGAAAAAACUUGUCUGAUGUGCCAUGCGGUAGGACUGAACUUGAAACUAUGUGGUCAGGAAGCAACCAGAUAGUCAUACCUACACCUUAUGUCAAUAUAAAAAGUUUAAUUUAUAUAUAGUCCAACCCAUACUAGCAUGUAAAGUGGACGUUAAACGACGAUGAUGAUGAUGAUGAUGAUGAUGAUAUAAAUGGAAACU